RNAcentral lists this ribosomal RNA (253 nucleotides) under uncultured Bacteroidaceae bacterium. Its description in RNAcentral is "partial 16S ribosomal RNA". It matches the Rfam family "Bacterial small subunit ribosomal RNA", at positions 524 to 776 of the family's 1533-position model. The record is from RNAcentral. Lineage: Bacteria; Pseudomonadati; Bacteroidota; Bacteroidia; Bacteroidales; Bacteroidaceae.
UACGGAGGAUGCGAGCGUUAUCCGGAUUUAUUGGGUUUAAAGGGAGCGUAGACGGGAUGUUAAGUCAGCUGUGAAAGUUUGGGGCUCAACCUUAAAAUUGCAGUUGAUACUGGCGUCCUUGAGUGCGGUUGAGGUAUGUGGAAUUCGUGGUGUAGCGGUGAAAUGCUUAGAUAUCACGAAGAACUCCGAUUGCGAAGGCAGCAUACUAAGCCGCUACUGACGUUGAGGCUCGAAAGUGUGGGUAUCAAACAGG